AUGAACGCUAGCGGGAGGCCUAACCCAUGCAAGCCGAGCGGUAGAGUCUCUUCGGAGACUUGAGAGCGGCGCACGGGUGCGGAACACGUGUGCAACCUGCCUUUAUCUGGGGGAUAGCCUUUCGAAAGGAAGAUUAAUACCCCAUAAUAUACUGGAUGGCAUCAUCUGGUAUUGAAAACUCCGGUGGAUAGAGAUGGGCACGCGCAAGAUUAGAUAGUUGGUGAGGUAACGGCUCACCAAGUCAGCGAUCUUUAGGGGGCCUGAGAGGGUGAUCCCCCACACUGGUACUGAGACACGGACCAGACUCCUACGGGAGGCAGCAGUGAGGAAUAUUGGACAAGGGGUGAGAGCCUGAUCCAGCCAUCCCGCGUGAAGGACGACGGCCCUAUGGGUUGUAAACUUCUUUUGUAUAGGGAUAAACCUAGAUACGUGUAUCUAGCUGAAGGUACUAUACGAAUAAGCACCGGCUAACUCCGUG
This 478-nucleotide ribosomal RNA is filed under the name uncultured bacterium. Its description in RNAcentral is "partial 16S ribosomal RNA". It matches the Rfam family "Bacterial small subunit ribosomal RNA", at positions 29 to 507 of the family's 1533-position model. The record is from RNAcentral.